This 96-nucleotide transfer RNA is filed under the name Staphylothermus marinus F1. It matches the Rfam family "tRNA". Rfam says of the family: Transfer RNA (tRNA) molecules are approximately 80 nucleotides in length. Lineage: Archaea; Thermoproteati; Thermoproteota; Thermoprotei; Desulfurococcales; Desulfurococcaceae. The record is from Rfam by way of RNAcentral.
GGGCCCGUAGCCUAGCCUGGAUAGGGCGCCGGCCUGCGGAGAAUAGUAGGGUUCGUGGCCAGCCGGAGGCCCCGGGUUCAAAUCCCGGCGGGCCCG